RNAcentral lists this ribosomal RNA (804 nucleotides) under Arthrobacter alpinus. Its description in RNAcentral is "bacterial SSU rRNA". It matches the Rfam family "Bacterial small subunit ribosomal RNA", at positions 95 to 900 of the family's 1533-position model. Lineage: Bacteria; Bacillati; Actinomycetota; Actinomycetes; Micrococcales; Micrococcaceae. The record is from RNAcentral.
GUGGCGAACGGGUGAGUAACACGUGAGUAACCUGCCCUUAACUCUGGGAUAAGCCUUGGAAACGAGGUCUAAUACUGGAUAUUGACUUUUCCUCGCAUGGGGAUUGGUUGAAAGAUUUAUUGGUUUUGGAUGGACUCGCGGCCAAUCAGCUUGUUGGUGAGGUAAUGGCUCACCAAGGCGACGACGGGUAGCCGGCCUGAGAGGGUGACCGGCCACACUGGGACUGAGACACGGCCCAGACUCCUACGGGAGGCAGCAGUGGGGAAUAUGCACAAUGGGCGAAAGCCUGAUGCAGCGACGCCGCGUGAGGGAUGACGGCCUUCGGGUUGUAAACCUCUUUCAGUAGGGAACAAGGCCAGACGUUGUCUGGUUGAGGGUACUUGCAGAAGAAGCGCCGGCUAACUACGUGCCAGCAGCCGCGGUAAUACGUAGGGCGCAAGCGUUAUCCGGAAUUAUUGGGCGUAAAGAGCUCGUAGGCGGUUUGUCGCGUCUGCCGUGAAAGUCCGGGGCUCAACUCCGGAUCUGCGGUGGGUACGGGCAGACUAGAGUGAUGUAGGGGAGACUGGAAUUCCUGGUGUAGCGGUGAAAUGCGCAGAUAUCAGGAGGAACACCGAUGGCGAAGGCAGGUCUCUGGGCAUUAACUGACGCUGAGGAGCGAAAGCAUGGGGAGCGAACAGGAUUAGAUACCCUGGUAGUCCAUGCCGUAAACGUUGGGCACUAGGUGUGGGGGACAUUCCACGUUUUCCGCGCCGUAGCUAACGCAUUAAGUGCCCCGCCUGGGGAGUACGGCCGCAAGGCUAAAAC